RNAcentral lists this ribosomal RNA (292 nucleotides) under uncultured prokaryote. RNAcentral describes it as "partial 16S ribosomal RNA". It matches the Rfam family "Archaeal small subunit ribosomal RNA", at positions 455 to 746 of the family's 1478-position model. The record is from RNAcentral.
GUGCCAGCAGCCGCGGUAAUACCGGCAGCACGAGUGAUGACCGCUCUUAUUGGGCCUAAAGCGUCCGUAGCUGGCCACGCAAGUCUAUCGGGAGAUCCGCGCGCUCAACGCGCGGGCGUCCGGUGGAAACUGUGUGGCUUGGGACCGGAAGACCUGAGGGGUACGUCCGGGGUAGGAGUGAAAUCCCGUAAUCCUGGACGGACCACCGGUGGCGAAAGCGCCUCAGGAAGACGGGUCCGACGGUGAGGGACGAAAGCUCGGGUCACGAACCGGAUUAGAUACCCCCGUAGUC